RNAcentral lists this ribosomal RNA (670 nucleotides) under uncultured cyanobacterium. RNAcentral's name for it is "bacterial SSU rRNA". It matches the Rfam family "Bacterial small subunit ribosomal RNA", at positions 99 to 795 of the family's 1533-position model. The record is from RNAcentral. Lineage: Bacteria; Bacillati; Cyanobacteriota.
CGGACGGGUGAGUAACGCGUGAGAAUUUACCUUUAGGAGGGGGAUAACAAUUGGAAACGAUUGCUAAUACCCCAUAUGCUUUUUUAAGUGAAAUGGAUUUUUCCGCCUAAAGAAAAGCUCGCGGCUGAUUAGCUAGUUGGUAAGGUAAUGGCUUACCAAGGCGACGAUCAGUAUCUGGUUUGAGAGGACGAUCAGACACACUGGAACUGAGACACGGUCCAGACUCCUACGGGAGGCAGCAGUGGGGAAUUUUCCGCAAUGGGCGAAAGCCUGACGGAGCAAUACCGCGUGAGGGAAGAAAGCCUACUGGGUUGUAAACCUCUUUUUUCAGGGAGGAAAAAAAUGACGUGUACUUGAAGAAUAAGCAUCGGCUAACUCCGUGCCAGCAGCCGCGGUAAGACGGAGGAUGCAAGUGUUAUCCGGAAUUACUGGGCGUAAAGCGUCUGCAGGUGGUUUAAUAAGUCAACUGUUAAAUCUUGAGGCUUAACUUCAAAACAGCAGUCGAAACUAUUAGACUAGAGUAUAGUAGGGGUAAAGGGAAUUUCCAGUGGAGCGGUGAAAUGCGUAGAUAUUGGAAAGAACACCGAUGGCGAAGGCACUCUACUGGGCUAUUACUGACACUCAGAGACGAAAGCUAGGGUAGCAAAUGGGAUUAGAUACCCCAGUAGUC